This 209-nucleotide long non-coding RNA is filed under the name Capsicum annuum. Its description in RNAcentral is "long non-coding RNA (CANN_LNC014299)". Lineage: Eukaryota; Viridiplantae; Streptophyta; Magnoliopsida; Solanales; Solanaceae. The record is from RNAcentral.
UAAACUUUUAGUUAUCAGUAUUCAAUUAUCAGAACUCAGUAUUUCAAUUUCAGUCUGAUUAAAGCAGAUGUUUUAUGCAGAAUAUUGCAUACUCAGCACAUUCAGUAGUUAUAAUUUUGCAUGUACUCUCAUCCAGUUACUUCAUGAUGUACAUUCAAUCAAUUAUCAUCUCAUGCAUAUAAACCUAUGUAUAUCAACCUACCUCACUU